AGUGAACGUUGGCGGCGUGGAUUAGGCAUGCAAGUCGAGCGAGAACCGUAGCAAUACGGGGACAGCGGCGAAAGGGACAGUAAUGCGUAGGUACCUACCUCCGGGUUCGGGAUAGCUGCGGGAAACUGCAGGUAAUACCGAAUAACGCCUCCGGACCAAAGGUGUGAUUCCACCUGGAGAGGGGCCUGCGUCCUAUUAGCUUGUUGGCGGGGUAACGGCCCACCAAGGCGACGAUGGGUAGCGGGUGUGAGAGCACGACCCGCGUCAUUGGGACUGAGACACUGCCCAGACACCUACGGGUGGCUGCAGUCGUGAAUCUUCGGCAAUGGGCGCAAGCCUGACCGAGCGACGCCGCGUGCGGGAUGAAGGCCUUCGGGUUGUAAACCGCUGUCGUAGAGGAGGAAAUGCAGGGGGGUUCUCCCCUCUGUUUGACCUAUUCUAGGAGGAAGUACGGGCUAAGUUCGUGCCAGCAGCCGCGGUAA
This 482-nucleotide ribosomal RNA is filed under the name uncultured bacterium. RNAcentral's name for it is "partial 16S ribosomal RNA". It matches the Rfam family "Bacterial small subunit ribosomal RNA", at positions 28 to 523 of the family's 1533-position model. The record is from RNAcentral.